This 830-nucleotide non-coding RNA is filed under the name Cherax punctatus. Lineage: Eukaryota; Metazoa; Arthropoda; Malacostraca; Decapoda; Parastacidae. The record is from RNAcentral.
AAAAAGUUUGAUUCUUGCUUUAGUUUUUGGUUUUAGAAUUAUAUGUACAUGCAUAUUUUGGUGAGAGGGGGUAUAAAUAUUUGAGAUGUUUAUAUUUUAAUUAGGUGAUGUGAUUUUAUAGGAGUCGCAGUACGGAGCUUUAAGAAUUGAACGUAGGUUUGACUUAGUAAAUUUGAAGAGACUUGAUUAAAUUUUGUGCCAGCAGUCGCGGUUAGACUUAAAAGUCGAGUAAAGAUGUAUUGGUAAGAGUUAAUAUGGUAAUAUUUAAAGGUUAAUUAAGAUUUGGUUUAAUAAAAGGUGGAAUUGGUCUAUUAAAAAUAAAUUGAAGUUAGUGUUUAAAUUGGAAGAAGCUUGAAAAAUUAAGAUAUAAAACAGGAUUAGAUACCCUGCUAUACUUAGAAGAAAUAGAUUAACUUGAAUAUUAGUAGUUAUAGACUUUAAAUUCAAAGAAUUUGGCGGUAUUUUAGUCUUGUUAGAGGAACCUGUUCUAUAAAUGAUACUACACGAAAAAUCUUACUUACUUUUGUUUUUCAGUUUGUAUACCGUCAUUAUUAGAUAACCUUUGUUGAGAAAGUUAUUGAGAUGUAGUGAGUUAAAUAUAUAUUAGAUCAAGGUGCAGCUAAUAAGUAAGCAGAAAUGGGUUACAAUAAAAUUUAUUUAAACGUAUUGAUAGUUGAAUAUCUAUCAUGAAGGAGGAUUUAAUUGUAAUAGAAAUUUAAUAAGUUAAUAUGAUAUGAGAACUAAAAUAUGUACAUAUCGCCCGUCGCUUCCAUUUAAGGUGGAAUAAGUCGUAACAUAGUAGGUGUACUGGAAAGUGUACCUGGAAUUAU